GGAUGCCUACAAGCAGUCGGAGGGCGUAAGCCUGACGGCGUACCUUUUGUAUAAUGGGUCAACGACUUAGUGUAGCAAGCAAGCUUAAGCCGAUAGGUGUAGGCGCAGCGAAAGCGAGUCUUAAUAGGGCGAAUAGUUUGUUGCAUUAGACCCGAAACCAAGUGAUCUAGCCAUGAGCAGGUUGAAGGUUGAGUAACAUCAACUGGAGGACCGAACCCACUAACGUUGAAAAGUUAGGGGAUGACCUGUGGCUGGGGGUGAAAGGCCAAUCAAACCGGGAGAUAGCUGGUUCUCCCCGAAAGCUAUUUAGGUAGCGCCUCGUGUAUCACCAUAGGGGGUAGAGCACUGUUUGGGCUAGGGGGUCAUCCCGACUUACCAACCCUUUGCAAACUCCGAA
RNAcentral lists this ribosomal RNA (397 nucleotides) under Striatella unipunctata. RNAcentral's name for it is "partial Bacterial large subunit ribosomal RNA". It matches the Rfam family "Bacterial large subunit ribosomal RNA", at positions 558 to 960 of the family's 2925-position model. Lineage: Eukaryota; Bacillariophyta; Striatellaphyceae; Striatellales; Striatellaceae. The record is from RNAcentral.